This 253-nucleotide ribosomal RNA is filed under the name uncultured bacterium. RNAcentral's name for it is "partial 16S ribosomal RNA". It matches the Rfam family "Bacterial small subunit ribosomal RNA", at positions 524 to 776 of the family's 1533-position model. The record is from RNAcentral.
UACGUAGGGUGCAAGCGUUAUCCGGAAUUAUUGGGCGUAAAGAGCUCGUAGGCGGUUUGUCGCGGCUGCUGUGAAAACUGGAGGCUCAACCUCCAGCCUGCAGUGGGUACGGGCAGACUAGAGUGCGGUAGGGGAGAUUGGAAUUCCUGGUGUAGCGGUGGAAUGCGCAGAUAUCAGGAGGAACACCAAUGGCGAAGGCAGAUCUCUGGGCCGUAACUGACACUGAGGAGCGAAAGCGUGGGUAGCAAACAGG